CGAACAGUUGGAAACGACUGCUAAUACCGCAUAAGCCCACGGGUCGGCAUCGACCAGAGGGAAAAGGAGCAAUCCGCUUUGAGAUGGCCUCGCGUCCGAUUAGCUAGUUGGUGAGGUAAUGGCCCACCAAGGCAACGAUCGGUAGCCGGACUGAGAGGUUGAACGGCCACAUUGGGACUGAGACACGGCCCAGACUCCUACGGGAGGCAGCAUG
Molecule: ribosomal RNA, 214 nt
Filed under: uncultured bacterium
Lineage: Bacteria
Description: partial 16S ribosomal RNA
Rfam family: Bacterial small subunit ribosomal RNA
Source: RNAcentral